Molecule: long non-coding RNA, 1920 nt
Filed under: Homo sapiens (human)
Lineage: Eukaryota; Metazoa; Chordata; Mammalia; Primates; Hominidae
Description: lncAB218.7
Source: RNAcentral
GUUCUCAAGAGAUCUGACAGUUUUAUAAGGGUCUUUUCCCCUUUUGCUCAGCACUUCUCCUUCCUGCCUGCCACCAUGUGAAGAAGGAUGUGUUUGCUUCCCCUUCCACCAUGACUGUAAGUUUCCUGAGGCCUCCCCAGCCAUGCUGAACGAGACGGAGUUUUGUCAUGUUGCCCAGGCUGGCCUCAAACUCCUGAGCUCAAGCAAUCCACCGGCUUCAGCCUCCCAGAGUGCUGGGAUUACAGGUGUGAGCCACCACGCCCAGCCGGGUUGAAUGUUUUCUUAUUUUUGAGCUUUGAGAAUUCUCUAUAUAUUCUGAAUACAAGUCAUUCAUUAAAUACAUUAUUUGCAAAUAUUUUCUCUUAGUAUUUUGCUUGUCUUUUCAGUCUCUAAAGAGUAUUUUUUAAUGUAAAUUUUUAAUUGUGAAGUUCAAUUUAUCGAUUCAUUCUCUUAUGGAGCAUGCUUUUGGAGCCAAGAAAUCUUGGACUAAUCAUAGGUCACAGAGGUUUUCUCCUAUGUUUUCUUCUGGAAGUUUUAUAGUUUCAGGUUUUACAUUUAGGUCUAUGACUCAUUUUGAGAUAAUUUUUGUAUUUGGUGCAAAGUAUGGCUUGCAGUUCAUUUUUUGAUUAUGGAUAUCCAAUUAUUCCAGCACUCAUUUUGGAAAAGACUAUUUCCACUAAAUUACCUUUGCACUUCUGUCAAAAAUCAGCUGUCCACCUAUGUGUGGGUCUGUUAUCUAGCUCUCUUAUUUUUUUCCCUUCAUCUGUUUGUCCAUCAUGACAUGACUACCACACUGUCUUGAUAGGACAGCCAUACAGUAAGUCUUGAAAUCAGGCAGGGUUCCUCAAGUUUGUCUUUUUCAAAAUAGUUUUGGCUCUUCUAGGUCCUUUACAUUUCCAUGUGAAUUUCAGAAUCAGCUUGUUAAUUUUUAUAAAAAGCCUUGCUGGGAUCUAACUGGGAUUUCUUUGAAUCUAUAGAUCAAUUUGGGGAGAAUUGAUACCUUAACAAUACUGAAUUUCCCAGCCCAUGAACAUGCUAUGUCUUUCCACUUAUUUAAAUCUCCUUUGACUUCUCUCAACAAUGUUUUGUAGUUUUCAGUGUACGGGUCUAACACAUUUUUGCCAGAUCUAUUCCUAAGCAUUUCUUAUUUUUAAUGUUAUUAUAAAUGGUGCUAUUUUUACAUUACCAUUUCUGAUUAUCCAUUGCCAGCAUAUAGAGAAACAAUUGGUAUUUGGAUAUUGAUUUUGUAUCCUACAACUUUACUAAACUCACUUAUUAGUUCCAGAAGAUUUUUUGUAGAUUCCAUCAGAUUUUCUACACAGAUGAUCAUGUUGUCUGUGAACUGACAGUUUUACUGUGUCGUCCUUUCUAAUCCAGCUACCUUUUGUUUCUUUUUCUCGCCUCAGUACACUAGCUAGAACAAAAGUGGUGAGAACAGACAUUCUUGUCUUUCUCCUGAGAUUAGGGAAAAGUAUUCAGUCUUUCACCAUUAAGAGUGAUGUUAGCUGUAGGUUUUACAGAGAUCCCCUUUAUCAGGUUAAGGAAGUUCCCUUCUUUUCUCACUUUGCUGAGGGUAUUGUUUUUGUUUUUGUUUUUUAAUCAGGAAUAGCUGUUGGAUUUUUUUUUUUUUUUAAACUCUGUGUAGAGGGCCAGGCGCGGUGGCUCAUGCCUGUAAUCCCAGCACUUUGGGAAGCCAAGCCAGGGAGAUCACUUGAGGCCAGGAGUUCAAGACCAGCCUGGCCAACACGGUGAAACCCCACCUCUACUAAAAAUAACAAAAAUUCGUCGGGCGUGGUGGCACGUGCCUGUAAUCCCAGCUACUCGGGAGGCGGAGGCAGGAGAACUGCUUAAACCCAGGAGGCGGAGGUUGUAGCGAGCUGAGAUGGCACCACUGCACUCCAGCCUGGGAGGCUUUUUUGA